ACCUUGUUAGUUUAUAUUUGUAAAAUGUGACUUUGAAGAAGUUGAGAAGUGGUGAGGUG
RNAcentral lists this transfer RNA (59 nucleotides) under Baylisascaris transfuga (bear roundworm). RNAcentral describes it as "tRNA-Phe". The record is from RNAcentral. RNAcentral also lists the same sequence under 1 other name. Lineage: Eukaryota; Metazoa; Nematoda; Chromadorea; Rhabditida; Ascarididae.